UGGGAGCUUGCUCCCUGAUGUUAGCGGCGGACGGGUGAGUAACACGUGGGUAACCUGCCUGUAAGACUGGGAUAACUCCGGGAAACCGGGGCUAAUACCGGAUGGUUGUUUGAACCGCAUGGUUCAAACAUAAAAGGUGGCUUCGGCUACCACUUACAGAUGGACCCGCGGCGCAUUAGCUAGUUGGUGAGGUAACGGCUCACCAAGGCAACGAUGCGUAGCCGACCUGAGAGGGUGAUCGGCCACACUGGGACUGAGACACGGCCCAGACUCCUACGGGAGGCAGCAGUAGGGAAUCUUCCGCAAUGGACGAAAGUCUGACGGAGCAACGCCGCGUGAGUGAUGAAGGUUUUCGGAUCGUAAAGCUCUGUUGUU
RNAcentral lists this ribosomal RNA (375 nucleotides) under Bacillus subtilis. RNAcentral describes it as "bacterial SSU rRNA". It matches the Rfam family "Bacterial small subunit ribosomal RNA", at positions 73 to 440 of the family's 1533-position model. Lineage: Bacteria; Bacillati; Bacillota; Bacilli; Caryophanales; Bacillaceae. The record is from RNAcentral.